CGUGCGCACGCGCCGAAUCCUGAAAAGGAACCGGGGAACCACCAAUUGGGGUGAAUCGGACGCCUUCGUCUCGUACGGAGGGGCCCGUAGGAGACCUUCCUGCUCCGAACCCGUCAGCUAACCCGGUAGGCGAGAAGGAAGGAAAGG
This 147-nucleotide small RNA is filed under the name Streptomyces vietnamensis. Its description in RNAcentral is "c-di-AMP sequence". It matches the Rfam family "c-di-AMP riboswitch aptamer (ydaO/yuaA leader)". Rfam says of the family: This family represents a conserved RNA structure found upstream of the ydaO and yuaA genes in Bacillus subtilis and related genes in other bacteria. The ydaO/yuaA element is thought to act as a genetic "off" switch for the ydaO and yuaA genes in its native state. Lineage: Bacteria; Bacillati; Actinomycetota; Actinomycetes; Kitasatosporales; Streptomycetaceae. The record is from Rfam by way of RNAcentral.